AGCAUAGCUCAGUUGGCCAGAGCAGCUGAUUUGUAAUCAGCGGGUCGGGGGUUCGAAUCCCUCUGCUG
RNAcentral lists this transfer RNA (68 nucleotides) under uncultured Lewinella sp. It matches the Rfam family "tRNA". From Rfam's summary of the family: Transfer RNA (tRNA) molecules are approximately 80 nucleotides in length. Their secondary structure includes four short double-helical elements and three loops (D, anti-codon, and T loops). The record is from RNAcentral. Lineage: Bacteria; Pseudomonadati; Bacteroidota; Saprospiria; Saprospirales; Lewinellaceae. RNAcentral also lists the same sequence under 2 other names.